RNAcentral lists this long non-coding RNA (771 nucleotides) under Equus asinus (donkey). RNAcentral describes it as "lncRNA (ENSEASG00005025059.1)". Lineage: Eukaryota; Metazoa; Chordata; Mammalia; Perissodactyla; Equidae. The record is from RNAcentral.
GAUUUCACAGCAGCUCUUCUCAUUUUAGAGAUAAGAAAACUGAGGUUUUUAGCUAGGAAAACCUGGAAGAGAGAUCAAGGAAGCAUAUGCCUGGGCCGUGGGAGGUUUGAUGAUAACAAAUCCUGCCUUCCCUUUGAUGAGAAAAGGAUCAGCAAAGUGCACGUGGAGAAUGAAAGCAACUCUGAGCCUGGGUUCCGGCAGAAUCUGGUUGACAAAGGACACGAAGGGACUUGUGAACCUCUUGUAUAAGUCCAGAUUCUUGGGUGCAAGUGGCAGAAAUCAAACUCAAGCUAGCUUAAACUGAAACAGAAGACGCACAAGUGAUGGUCGUUUGAAAAUUCUUCAAAACCUCGUAGACCAGGGGUUUCUCGAGAAGAGCCUUGAUGAAGUGUGCAUUUUGGCAUCAUUUGUAUGAGUAGCAGGAAGCAUGGGGUAUGGCAGGUUACCAACUGGUCUUUGAGUGAGGAAACCAGAGCGGGUCUGGACCCCAGAGCAGGACCAUUUGCUUUGGUCUCUGGCCAGGCCAACUGAGGGAUCAUAAUCAGGGCUGCAGGCCACUCUGAGGACAGCAGGGCACUGCAGAGAGAAGUCUGGCCUGGUUAGCACAUGAACAGAUGUGAACGAAGGAGAGUGCAGUUCCAGAGGAGUGCCGUGCCGGGGGCUCUCAAGGCUGAUGGAGAAAGCAUCGGGGACGGCCUCUCCUCUCUUGGGAGAGUAAACGUUUUAAACAGUGCCGAAGAAAGAAAAGAUUGCUACAUGGCAGCAACGGCC